Long non-coding RNA from Clupea harengus (Atlantic herring), 251 nucleotides. NCBI's taxonomy places the organism in Eukaryota, Metazoa, Chordata, Actinopteri, Clupeiformes, Clupeidae. The record is from Ensembl.
CCCCUCUGUGUGCUUCUGUGUAACCUGAUUUGCAUAAACAUGAGUAAUUUAUGAAUAAUAAAUGCACUUGUAUUCGGCAUGAUCCGUUAAUUUGCAUAUCACCAUGGCACUACAGUUAUUUUUCCUGCUUGCUGCGCUAUCAUGAAGCCAUAAGAACUCGCAUAAAGCCGAAUCAAAAAGGAGAGUUAAAAGGAGUCUGGUGUCGACAGGCCCCGGCAUAUGGUGGCAAGGCCUAUUCAUUGUCAGGAGCA